UUAAUUCUGGGCCGGCAGCGGGUGGAAGAAAGAGGUGGCGAGCGGUAAUCGGAAUUACUGGGCGGAAAGCGAGUGUAGGUGGCUCAUUAAGGCACAUGGGAAAUCCCCGGGCUUAAGCUGGGAACUGCAUGUGAUACUGGUGGUGCUAGAAUAUGGGAGAGGGAAGUAGAAUUCCAGGUGUAGCGGUGAAAUGCGUAGAGAUCUGGAGGAAUACCGAUGGCGAAGGCAGCUUCCUGGCAUAAUAUUGACACUGAGAUUCGAAAGCGUGGGUAGCAAACAGGAUUAGAUACCCCUGUAGUC
This 300-nucleotide ribosomal RNA is filed under the name uncultured Methanosaeta sp. Its description in RNAcentral is "bacterial SSU rRNA". It matches the Rfam family "Bacterial small subunit ribosomal RNA", at positions 497 to 795 of the family's 1533-position model. Lineage: Archaea; Methanobacteriati; Methanobacteriota; Methanomicrobia; Methanotrichales; Methanotrichaceae. The record is from RNAcentral.